AACGAACGCUGGCGGCAUGCCUAACACAUGCAAGUCGAACGAGACCUUCGGGUCUAGUGGCGCACGGGUGCGUAACGCGUGGGAACCUGCCCUUAGGUUUGGAAUAACUCCCCGAAAGGGGUGCUAAUACCGGAUAAUGUCUUCGGACCAAAGAUUUAUCGCCUUUGGAUGGGCCCGCGUUGGAUUAGCUAGUUGGUAGGGUAAAAGCCUACCAAGGCGACGAUCCAUAGCUGGUCUGAGAGGAUGAUCAGCCACACUGGGACUGAGACACGGCCCAGACUCCUACGGGAGGCAGCAGUGGGGAAUAUUGGACAAUGGGCGAAAGCCUGAUCCAGCAAUGCCGCGUGAGUGAUGAAGGCCUUAGGGUUGUAAAGCUCUUUUAACCGGGAUGAUAAUGACAGUACCGGGAGAAUAAGCUCCGGCUAACUCCGUG
RNAcentral lists this ribosomal RNA (433 nucleotides) under uncultured bacterium. RNAcentral's name for it is "partial 16S ribosomal RNA". It matches the Rfam family "Bacterial small subunit ribosomal RNA", at positions 29 to 507 of the family's 1533-position model. The record is from RNAcentral.